GCUAGCUCAGUCGGUAGAGCAUGAGACU
Molecule: non-coding RNA, 28 nt
Filed under: Drosophila erecta
Lineage: Eukaryota; Metazoa; Arthropoda; Insecta; Diptera; Drosophilidae
Also listed under: 9 other names
Source: RNAcentral